AGCUGAAUACCUGUUUUUCGCAAGGGAUGAAUAAAACCAGUACUGAGAAACAUUACGAAAUCAUGCUCAGAAUUGAAAAAGCAUAUACCGACACAAUUAAAGAGCUUGAUGCAAGCACCAGGUUCUGAUAUUCCAAGUCCUGUGACACCUAGGGAAUCUCCUUCUUUCCAACCCAAUUUCUUCAGCAUUUGAUAGCCUUUGUUGGACUCAUUCACAGACCUAAAACAAUGUAUACAAAAAUAACGUACUGAAUGCUACAAUAACAUAAGUGAAACUAAUAAGGCAUAAUAUUUAUGUAAAUAAAAUGUUUUAAUAAAUGAAUUGUAGGUAA
Long non-coding RNA from Parasteatoda tepidariorum (common house spider), 331 nucleotides. The record is from RefSeq and is a predicted model, not a curated record. NCBI's taxonomy places the organism in Eukaryota, Metazoa, Arthropoda, Arachnida, Araneae, Theridiidae.